CGAGUGCUUCUUCUCAGACGGUGAACGUGCUUCGCAGCAGGAGCAGGUUUACGCGUCGCUGGGCCGUCCACUCCUGGACGAUGUGCUAGCCGGUUACAAUGGCUGCUUGCUGGCCUACGGCCAGUCCGGCUCCGGCAAAACAUACACCAUGCUCGGUAACCCGGAAUGUCCAGGUUUGACACCGCGCCUAUGUCAGGAGCUCCUACAGAAGCUGUCUGCGGCUGGAUCCGAACGCAC
Molecule: long non-coding RNA, 237 nt
Organism: Pollicipes pollicipes
Lineage: Eukaryota; Metazoa; Arthropoda; Thecostraca; Pollicipedomorpha; Pollicipedidae
Exons: 3
Source: RefSeq, a predicted model, not a curated record